GACGAACGCUGGCGGCGUGCUUAACACAUGCAAGUCGAACGGAAAGGCCCUGCUUUUGUGGGGUGCUCGAGUGGCGAACGGGUGAGUAACACGUGAGUAACCUGCCCUUGACUUUGGGAUAACUUCAGGAAACUGGGGCUAAUACCGGAUAGGAGCUCCUGCUGCAUGGUGGGGGUUGGAAAGUUUCGGCGGUUGGGGAUGGACUCGCGGCUUAUCAGCUUGUUGGUGGGGUAGUGGCUUACCAAGGCUUUGACGGGUAGCCGGCCUGAGAGGGUGACCGGCAACAUGGGGACUGAGAUACGGCCCAGACUCCGACGGGAGGCAGCAGUGGGAAAUAUUGCACAAUGGGCGGAAGCCUGCUGCAGCAACGCCGCGUGCGGAAGGACGGCCUUCGGGUGGUAAACCGCUUUCGCCGGUGACGAAGCGUGGGUGACGUAAAGGGGUAAAGAAGCACCGGCGAACUACGU
This 467-nucleotide ribosomal RNA is filed under the name uncultured bacterium. RNAcentral's name for it is "partial 16S ribosomal RNA". It matches the Rfam family "Bacterial small subunit ribosomal RNA", at positions 28 to 506 of the family's 1533-position model. The record is from RNAcentral.